Long non-coding RNA from Limulus polyphemus (Atlantic horseshoe crab), 776 nucleotides. RefSeq lists it as uncharacterized. The record is from RefSeq and is a predicted model, not a curated record. The transcript has 4 exons. Lineage: Eukaryota; Metazoa; Arthropoda; Merostomata; Xiphosura; Limulidae.
UGGUCACAUGAUGAUAGUUCGUCUGCCACAGAUAGUUAUCACAAUAACUUAAAUUUAACAUUUUAAAUUAACGUAGUCAGAGUAUGUGAAUUGUCUGUUAAGCCUGUUACGGUUAAUUUACUUGCAAGCAUUUUCUGAAGUAUUGCAGAUAAACAGCAUGAAUCCUUCAUCUGCACCCUCCCCUGCAGAGCAGGCUCCACUCUAUAAUAACCAUAUACCUGAUAGGCCUCUUUUUGGAGAAUCUACUAGAAGGGGCCGUCUGCUAAAUCUAAUUGUGGGAACAUUAGCAAGUCUGUUUGUUGCUGCCCACUUCAGGCAAAGAACAAAAUACAUUUGACUGUGGUGGAGAAUCUGUUGGAACAUAACAUAACACGAGAUGCACAGAGCAAGACAAGUUGAUAAUACCUAACAAAGUAUACAUAAAACAUUGUUAGCAAAGAUAUUAGUGAACUGAACAUACAACAACUUUUCACCAUUUUGUAUGUUAGACUACUGUGAUUUGUUACCCUGUAUGUUAGACUAUUGUGAUUUGUUACCCUGUAUGUUAGACUACUGUGAUUUGUUACCCUGUAUGUUAGACUAUUGUGAUUUGUUACCCUGUAUGUUAGACUAUUGUGAUUUGUUACCCUGUAUGUUAGACUAUUGUGAUUUGUUACCCUGUAUGUUAGACUAUUGUGAUUUGUUACCCUGUAUGUUAGACUACUGUGAUUUGUUACCCUGUAUGUUAGACUACUGUGAUUUGUUACACAUGAACAGCAAGUGUACAUUGAUAGAUU